CCCUUAGAUGUUCUGGGCCGCACGCGCGCUACACUGAUGCAUUCAACGAGUCUAAAACCUGCUCUGAUAGGGGUGGGUAAUCUUUUGAAUGUGCAUCGUGAUUGGGAUAGAUGAUUGCAAUUUUUCAUCUUCAAUGAGGAAUGCCUAGUAAACGCAAGUCAUCAGCUUGCAUUGAUUACGUCCCUGCCCUUUGUACACACCGCCCGUCGCUCCUACCGAUUGAAUGAUCCGAUGAAUAUCAUGGAUUGAGGAUGCAAGCAGGUUCGCCUGUCUUCAUCUUCGAGAAGUGAAGUAAAUCUUAUCAUUUAGAGGAAGGAGAAGUCGUAACA
RNAcentral lists this ribosomal RNA (329 nucleotides) under uncultured eukaryote. RNAcentral describes it as "partial 18S ribosomal RNA". It matches the Rfam family "Eukaryotic small subunit ribosomal RNA", at positions 1470 to 1796 of the family's 1831-position model. The record is from RNAcentral.